RNAcentral lists this long non-coding RNA (1015 nucleotides) under Hordeum vulgare. RNAcentral's name for it is "long non-coding RNA (HVUL_LNC007971)". The record is from RNAcentral. Lineage: Eukaryota; Viridiplantae; Streptophyta; Magnoliopsida; Poales; Poaceae.
AAAAAGUCGGCAAUCUGGUUAUAAAUGGGAACUCUGAAUAGGACGCAUAGGAAUGCAGCGAGAUUAGUUGAGGUGUGUGUGACAGAGUUUUUGAUACCGAGUGAAAAUAUUAAAUAUCUUACUACCUUAGUGCACCCGGAUCGAUGUGAAAACUACAGUAUAUAUCAUGCAUGCUAUUUGUGAUANNNNNNNNNNUACGCAUAGGAAUGCAGCGAGAUUAGUCGAGGUGUGUGUGUGACAGAGUUUUUGGUACCGAGUGAAAAUAUUAAAUAUCUUACUACCUUAGUGCACCUGGAUCGAUGUGAAAACUACAGUAUAUAUCAUGCAUGCUAUUUGUGAUAUGAGAGGAAACUGAAAAGGAGUGAGCACAAAUUGGAAAGAUUGGGCUGAGAACUUAGCUACAAGCAGCAAGUAAUCCUAUAGUUCAUUCUGACCUGCACCGUCUUGUCGUGAUCUAACUUGCGGUUGGAAACGUGGAGUUGAAGUUCUUCUGCAGGAACCUGUACACGUGAUUGAUGACGAAUCGCCUCAACCAGCCCUCACGUGCUUCCCGCCGCUCGCCGUCAGGAUCGCCCUCCCGACCAGGAAGUAUCGUAGUUAGUCAGGAAACUAGAAAUUGUUCUAUCUUGUCUUAUACUUUAAAUUGAUCAUGUAUUCUUGCAUAUAUGAUUACGGGGCUUAAGCAAUACAACAAUUAUUUCAUCAAUCUCUGUUUCCCCUUNNNNNNNNNNCACCUGCACCGUCUUGUCGUGAUCUAGGUUGGAAACGUGGAGUUGAAGUUCUUCUGCAGGAACCUGUACAUGUGAUUGAUGACGAAUCGCCUGAACCAGCCCUCACGUGCUUCCCGCCGCUCGCCGUCAGGAUCGCCCUCCCGACCAGGAAGUAUCGUAAUUAGUCAGGAAACUAGAAAUUGUUCUAUCUUGUCUUAUACUUCAAAUUGAUCAUGUAUUCUUACAUAUAUGAUUAUGGGGCUUAAGCAAUACAACAAUUAUUUCAUCAAUCUCUGUUUCCCCUU